This 253-nucleotide ribosomal RNA is filed under the name uncultured bacterium. Its description in RNAcentral is "partial 16S ribosomal RNA". It matches the Rfam family "Bacterial small subunit ribosomal RNA", at positions 524 to 776 of the family's 1533-position model. The record is from RNAcentral.
UACAGAGGUCUCAAGCGUUGUUCGGAUUCAUUGGGCGUAAAGGGUGCGUAGGCGGCGCGGUAAGUCGGGUGUGAAAUCUCGGGGCUUAACUCCGAAACUGCAUUCGAUACUGCCGUGCUUGAGGACUGGAGAGGAGACUGGAAUUUACGGUGUAGCGGUGAAACGCGUAGAUAUCGUAAGGAAGACCAGUGGCGAAGGCGGGUCUCUGGACAGUUCCUGACGCUGAGGUACGAAGGCCAGGGGAGCAAACGGG